This 649-nucleotide long non-coding RNA is filed under the name Heterocephalus glaber (naked mole-rat). RNAcentral's name for it is "lncRNA (ENSHGLG00100049055.1)". Lineage: Eukaryota; Metazoa; Chordata; Mammalia; Rodentia; Bathyergidae. The record is from RNAcentral.
GAAUGGUGUUUGUGUUGGCAUUUGUGGUCCCUGUGUCAACUGCCAACUGCCACGGCAUGUGACACUGUCAGGGGACUGUAGGUGUGAGGAAGGACUCAGCUGGAGGGCUCGUGCCACCUCACCUCCAGGACUCAGCAGAUCAGUGGCAGCCAUAGCACCCACACCUGGCCCAGCCAGCACAGGAGCUGUGGGACCCCAGCCUUCUGUCCAUCCAUCCAUCUCUCCACCAUCUCUCUGUCUGUCCUGUGGCCUCAGGAAAGCACACCUGUUGGGAGAGCCAAAGUCACUGGGAACCUUCAGUGCAGUGGAGGAGCCCGGGCCAUGUGUUUACAGCUCUUCGUGUCUCUGCGGUCUGGGGAGGCGCCUGGCAGAGGUGAAACGGACGUGGACAGCCAGGCCUCCAUGCCCCGCUCACUUGGCCCUAAGCUUCCAGAAGACUUUCGGUGGAGCAAGGGGGGCACAGAAGCCUCCUGUCCUCUGUCACUCACUGCCCCAUGGCCACUGUGACUGGCAUGUCCUUGGUGUGCGGUGUACGGGUCCUUGGCAAGGUGGCCCGAGACAGCCACUCUGAGCAGGAGUCUUUGCCAGGGGCAGGGAAACAGCCAGGAGCAGCAGGUGCCAUUACCAGAGUCUGAGGUUUGCACUCAAC